UUUAAAUCUUUGACAGAUGAAUUCAAAUUACUGUGUUUUGUCUUGGUCAGGCUGGAUUGUCUAGUUAAGACACUGCACUCAGAGGGCUAUUUCGGGAUGUACAGAGUAAUAAAGACACGGCUCCAGUCACUAACCAAAGGAAUAAGUGAGGACAGCUACAGCAGACUAGCUGACUGUGGAAGGAAAAUGUGAUGGAAGGAGGGUCCCUCUGCCUUCCUGAGAGGGGCUGGCUGCAGAACAUUAGUCAUUGCUCCACUCUUUGGUAUAGCCCAAGUCAUUUACUUUAUUGGAGUAGGGGAGUUCCUUGUUGAGCUUUCCCAAUAUGGCAGAUUUUCAUCCUAACUCCUUAUGCCAUGGACAUGUUGGAACAGAACCUGCAAGAAUCAUCGAUAUAGAGAGGACCCAAGAAACAGAUUGCAACUCUGAUUGAUUUACUUACAUUCUUAGUGAAUCUGGGGGUCCCUGAAUACACUGUUAAUAAUCAACUAAAGUUAAGGGAAAGUUGGGACAACGUAUCCCCUGGGCUGCUGCUCAAUGUUGCACCCCAGCUUGGGGAUGCUGUACGCAUCCUUUUCAUGGCAUUUCCUGUUAUCCUUUUACACCAAGAGUCAGACUUGUGACACCAACAACCAGUGCAGUACAGGAGUCUGCAUAUUGUUAGUGUAUGGGAAUGUCUCCCAGUACUGAGGGUUCUAAGAGAUAUAAAUCUCUAUAUGUGAAACAACCAUUGCUGUUUUACUGAAUUUUGUGUACUUUUCAGAGGGUAGCACGAUCAGAUAUUAGGGGUAGUUGUUCAUGUUCCCUUCAUUAAAUAAUUAUAUAUAUAUAUACACACAACAUAUUUUCUAAUGGGUUUGGGGCCAAGUCCUUCUCUAUUAGUUGCACUUGAUUAUCCAGCUACCGGCCUAGAAAGGUCUGUCUUGGUAUUUCUCUUUGUUCUCUGUGCCAUCAAUGCUGUUUCAUUAAUUCACUCUUUACAAUUAAUUGGAAACAGAAGGCUAUGGCUUAUAAAAAGUCAUAGUUUACAGCUUGGAGCAUUUCCUUGUAAAGAAGGUGGUUGCUUUGGUGACUGCUAAAAACAGAAGCCAUUUCAGACCAUACAUGCAUCGUAGGCAAACUAGCCUAGAUAGGCACUCAGUAUGAAAUUCAUCCUGUACAAUGCCUACUUAUCACUUACAGUAUGGGUUCUAGAGUGAGCCCUGAAUGGAUUUUGUAUGCUCAUAAACCCUAAUUGUUCAGCAGAGACAUAGGUGCUACUUGAACUUGUUAGCGUAACUCACUCCAUACUUGAACUUCUCAGCAAUAAAGCAAUAAAACCAGUUCUUCCCUCAAAUAAACAUACAGUGUAAGCACUGAAUUUGCUAGGAGCUGCACCCGAGAAUAAAACUGGAUCAAGAAUUUUUAACCAUGUUAAAAUAUUACCCUUGAUUAUAUUUAGCCAGUUCUUUUCCUUGGCAGUGAGCUCAUGUAAUGACUGAUCCCAGUUUUUAAUUUGUUGUUGUUUGCAAAGGAAUAAACUAGUCAGUAUCUUUGGCCCCUUCCUCAAAUCCACUGUGUGCAGUCUGCAAUUUAAAUGUAUAUGAUGCAAGGAAAGCUUGA
Mauremys mutica (yellowpond turtle) is the source of this 1599-nucleotide long non-coding RNA. RefSeq lists it as uncharacterized. Lineage: Eukaryota; Metazoa; Chordata; Testudines; Geoemydidae. The transcript is spliced from 3 exons. The record is from RefSeq and is a predicted model, not a curated record.